GACAGAGGGUGCAAACGUUGCUCGGAUUUACUGGGCGUAAAGCGCGUGUAGGCGGGAAGAAAAAGUCGGGUGUGAAAUCCCUGGGCUCAACCUAGGAACUGCAUCCGAAACUUUCUUUCUGGAGUGAUGGAGAGGAGAGCGGAAUUCCCGGUGUAGAGGUGAAAUUCGUAGAUAUCGGGAGGAACACCGGUGGCGAAGGCGGCGAUCUGGGUCGAUACUGACGCUGAGGUGCGAAAGCGUGGGGGAGCAAACAGG
This 255-nucleotide ribosomal RNA is filed under the name uncultured bacterium. Its description in RNAcentral is "partial 16S ribosomal RNA". It matches the Rfam family "Bacterial small subunit ribosomal RNA", at positions 524 to 776 of the family's 1533-position model. The record is from RNAcentral.